CCCAGAGGCGCCCGGAUUUCCCACGGGUUUCCCCAUCUGCUGCAAAUAGUAACAAAGGCUGGCACUUUCAGAGCGCUCACUGAGUGUUAGGCACUUUGCUGGCAUCGUGUCUUGUUACCUCCAUCAGGGAUCUGAAGCAGGCGCCACUAUUACCUCCAUUAAGAGACAUGGAAUCUGAGGUUAAGAGAUGCCCAGCGACUUGCUCAAGGUCACACAGCUACUGAAUGGUCCUCUGCAAAAUGAGUGUAUUUUAACAUCAACUAACCUUCCUGUGAGGGUAGUUGGUAGCAACAAUGAGUGACCACCGUGGGUAAAGUCUUCCCAAGCACAAUUGUGUGAUGGCACUCAGCGGGCAGCCCAGCUCUACAGGCAAACGUCAUUCUUCGUGAUUCUGUUUGAGGAGAUGCAGAAACUGAGGCUCUCAGAGAGGGGCAGAAGCUCACGAAGCUCUGGCAAGUAGCCAAAGUGACACUGAAGCCCAGAUGUUUGACUCCCUGAGGAUUCAUCUAACAGCGUGGGAGGCUGUACCAGGGACUGACCCGUGUAACCGACAGGAUAUUGCAGAAAUGAUAGUGUGAUUUCUGAGACUACUUCAUAAAGGACACUGCAGCUUCUGCACUUGCUCUAGGCUAGUGGAAGCCAGCUGCCAUGUUGUAAGCACACUCAAGCAACCCUAUGGAGGAUUAUAGGUGGUGAGGAACUGAGGCUUCCUGCCAUCAGCCAGAACCAAUGUUGCAGUGCCAUUCAAGCCAUCAGGUGACCACAGCUCCAUUCUGACAUCCUGACUGCAACCUUAUGAGAGAGCUUAAGCCAGAAUCACCUAGGAAAUUACUCCUGAAUUCCUGACGCACAGAAAGUGUGAGGUAAGAAAAGCUUAUUGUUGUUAUAAGCCACUGAGUUUUGAGGUAAUUUGCUACAUAACAAUAGAGGAAAAAAAACAAAAUAGAAGGAGCCUUGACCCUCUGAAAUUGUGGAGGGCCAUAGCAGCCCUUACAUUUACAUCAGACUUUUUUUUUUUUUUUUUUUUACAUCAGACUCUUUUUUAAGAGACAUAAACUUCUCUUAUUUUCACAACUAUUAUUUUGAGUUUUCUGUCAUUCCUAUUCCUAGUCUUAUUUUGGAACUACUCAUUCAGAAACUCUUUUAAGAAUUGCUAGCUGAAAAAAAAAAAAAAAAGAAUUGCUAGCUGGAAGUGCCUUUGGAGGCCAUCCCCGUCAUUCCUGCUGCCAGGGGUGUGUUGAGGCCUAAAUCUCCCCAAGAUGAUGGGUAGUUAAUGUCUAAAAAUGUCUGUAAAAGGGAUUUUAUAAUGAGGACCACUGGCCAAGGAUCAGGAGAACUUGGCUCCACUCCCUUCUGAGUGCUAUCAUUUAUUUAACACUUUGGUGACCUUACCUGGCACAGAGGGACACUGUCUUUAAUAUGGGAUGUCCACGAGGCUCAAACAGACGUGUAAAUAAGCAAUUUGGAGAGUGCCAAGCUUCUCUACCAACUGAAGAAAGCACUCUUGCUGUGGGUCUGGCUGUUUCUGUUGCUGGAUGGAGUUAGCCUGCCUCAGCAUUUACAGGUGUUCCUUUUCAUGGACCAGCUUUCAGGUGUGCAUCUCUGUGGCCUAAUGAACAAAUCCUCACCAAUGAUGAGACACCCUGCUCAGAUCCAUUCAGCCAUGGCAGCUGACAGGGCUUAGUGAUGGCAGUCCUGAUGGUUAGUCUAGUUUUUAACUAAAGCACUUCUUCCCAUUGCCCUGGUUGCAAGACAGUGGCCAGACCUCUGACACUCUCUCUCCACCCCAUGUCCUGCUUUGUCACAGACCACAAUUUCCAAGUGGAUUAACCAUCCAACAUGAUUCCUGACCCCCAGCAUCACAGUUCCCGGACCUGCUUAAUGUUCCUUACCUUUUCCCAUUGGCUCUUGCCACACUGCAGGAUAGCCCCUCUCUGAAAUGUUAGCCUCCUGAAUUCUACCAGAGGCCUUGACCUCCUGCUUUCUAGAUAUUUCCAGUCUGCUCUCUACUCCUGCUCUUGCACUUCAACAAAGACUUUCUGUCCCGAGAGGCUUCAAUCGAUUCUCCAGUCUGGCCGCAUCAGCAUCAUCUGAAGAACCAACAAUUUUCUUAAACCCUGUAUUAGUCAGGAUAAUGCUAGAUGCUAUAACAAACAAAUCCCCAAAUGUAUAUUGGCUCAGACAAUAUAGCUGAUUUCUUGUUCACAAACAACUCACGUGGGUGUUCCUGAUCAGUGGUGUGUGUCCUCCAAGUGAUGAUUUAGGGACCGGGAUCCUUCCACCUUGUGGCUCUGCCAUCUCCAACAUGUGGUUUCCAAGGGGGCCUUAAACUAGAAGAGGAAAAGAAGGGUGGAGAAGGCACAUCUGCUUCUUAACUAUUUGGGGCUGGAAAAUACAUGUCAUCCCUGAUCAGCAUUCCAUUGGCAAGAACGUGUCACUUGACUCCUCUCAGAUGUAACAGAUGUGAGAGGAGGGGUAUAUGCUGGGAAAUGUAGCCUCUGCUGGGACGCCCCUUCCUAGCCUCAACUCUGUUCUAUGGCAGGGCAAGGGAUACACUUUUUUUUUUUGGUGAACAGUUAGCUGUCUCUGCUACACACUCAAAAGGAACCUUCUGCCACAAUUGUCUUGUAAGACUGCAGCCCAAGUACUACAGGCCGACCAACCUUCCUGCCUUCUAGGUCCUGGAGAAGACCCUGAGGAGGACAGGUCAGUGCUAAUGCAGAUUUAUGGCCUCCAAAGCCACCGGGGCCCCUGUAUUGUUAGGCCUAGGUCAGAUUCUCUGGUAUUCGCCCUAACGGGUGUUCCAAGCAUCCUCUCCUUGCCCUUAGCCCCUUCCCCACCCUCAUUCUCAGCAGGUGAGAAUUUUAGGGCCGAAGGGCAUGAUGCCCCUCCACUUCUUCCCCUGCCCUCUCCUCCCCAACCACACUCAUGUAAAUUUGUCUGUGCCCACAUUCCCUCCAGCUUCACAGCCUGAACUGCUCCCUAGAUUUCAGACCUGUGUGUCCAUCUGCCUCAGAACGCUUCCACCUGCAUGUGCAUAGGUCCUUCAUACUCACCAUGUCUCAAACUGAACUCACCAUUGUCCAGCCCAUCCCCCUCCCCCAAACCUGCUUCUCCUCCUGGGGUUUCUUUCUCCUGUGAUGGCGACACCCUAACCACAUGGUUGUCCUUGCUUAAAAUCUGACGGUCAUCAUUGUCUCAUUUCUCAGGUUAAAUCCUGGCCAAAACAUUUCUUGAAUCAGUUCCCUCCACUUGUUUUACUAAGUUCAGGUCAUCACUUCCUGCUCAGAUGCCUGUAGCCACCUCCUAACAGGUCUUUAUGCCUCUAGUCUGUUCCCCUCCAACCACUCUUCAUGGGCAGCCAGAGUGACAGUUCUACAGUACAGAACUGGCCACAGCACUCAGUUUCUUGAGUGAAGUAUGGACUUUCUCCUGAGGCCCCCGAGUCCCCACAUGACUGGCCCCACUGCAGCCAGCCCCUUACUUUCCAUGGCACUCCAGCAACACUAGACUUUCCUCUGGCCAUGCCCUGAGGAUCCUUGAUGCCACACUGGGGCCAUGGGUGAGUGCUGCUAGAAUAUCCUUUGUUUUCCUCUCUCUGUUCUUAUCACACUCCUUGGUAAAGCUCUUUUUGUAUGUCUGCUUCCCAACACUGCAAGGGCAGGAGCUAACUCUUUGUCUCAUGAUUUCAGUGUCUGGGACAGUGCUCAUCAUACAGUAGGUGCUCAGUACAUGCUCAGUGAAUGAAUGAAGAUGGUGGAAAGGAACCCGUUGAAGGAAGCCUGGCAACCAGGCACACCGCAGGCUGAAGACUCAAGAACUCUUCUGAAGAAACCGAGCAGACUCAAGGGGAAGGCCUACAGAUACAGACAUGAUCCCGUUACAGACGCCCAAUAGAAGAGCCAGCUCACCCUCUACGGGGCAAUCCACUGGUAGACAAGGUCUACCCAAGCAUGCUGACCAUCCAGUCAUCUCUUCAGCACAUGACUCUUAAAUAUGAUCUGAGAGCCAAGAUCCCCAGACAUUUAAGGAAAGCCUCAGGCAUGAGAGAUAGGUGUUGGGGAGGGAGAAAGAAUGCAUAAGUUUAGAGAGGAGGAGAAAGCUUUACAAAUGCUAUGAAAUCUUCAGGGAAAGAAAAGAUUUCUCUCUCAAGGUUCAUUUUCAUGAAAUGUCAGAACACCAGGGAUAAAGAAAAGACCCCAAAAGGACUCAGAAAGGAAAUACAGGUCAAUUGAGAGGAUCAGGAAAAGAUCAGAAAGACCAGACUUCUCAGCAGCAACACUGGAAGCUGGAAGAUAAUGGAGUCAGGACUUCAGAAUUCUGAGUGAGAAUUAUUUAUAGCUUAGAAAUCCAAACCUAAACCAUUAAGAGAAAGGGUAGAAUAAAAGACACUUGAAGACAUGGGAGAUCACAAGUAAUUUGCCUCUCAUGCUCCCUUUCUCAGGAAGCUCUCCACCCAAAUAAGAGAACAAUCCAAGAAUGAGGAAGACAUACCCAGGAGAGGGCAUAGGGAUUCCCAGGAUGAUGGUAAAGGAGACCUGGAUGCCAGGGGGGCAGUAGGCCUAGGGAUGUCCCCCUUUGAGCCAGAGAAUAGAGGACUCAGGAUAGAGAUGGGCCAGAUGGAUUACCUAACAGGUGUGACUAGGUGGAAGAUUAUGUUGAGGGGCUAUUAGAUGGUUGUGAGAAUUAGUUGUGAGAAUAAGUUUGUGAGAAAAAGUUUACCAAAAACUGAGUCAAUAAAAAAUCUGAGGCAAUUGCUACCUACAGAAAACCCCACAACACAAACACUGUAAAAGAAGAUAAAGGCAACACACAAAAAUUUACAGAGCCAUAAUAAUGUUAACACAGAUUAUUGAUUUAACCAAAGGCUGUGAUACAGUGAUGGGAAGCUGGAGGAAAGGGAAGGAGGAUGUAGGUGGAAGAAGGAAAAGAAACCAAUCCUCAUCUCCCAUGAUUGCAAGAAAAUGGGUAAUGUUUAAAAUUGACAAAUCAACAAAAGAACACUAUAAAUAUAUGAUUUAGAAAGAUGGGAGAGGAGGUUAAAACUGGGAGAAACAGCUGAAAGCGUUUAACUGGGUACCUCUGAGCAUCAAACA
Non-coding RNA from Delphinapterus leucas (beluga whale), 5096 nucleotides. The record is from RefSeq and is a predicted model, not a curated record. Lineage: Eukaryota; Metazoa; Chordata; Mammalia; Artiodactyla; Monodontidae.